This 440-nucleotide ribosomal RNA is filed under the name uncultured bacterium. Its description in RNAcentral is "partial 16S ribosomal RNA". It matches the Rfam family "Bacterial small subunit ribosomal RNA", at positions 338 to 795 of the family's 1533-position model. The record is from RNAcentral.
CCUACGGGAGGCAGCAGUGGGGAAUAUUGCACAAUGGGGGAAACCCUGAUGCAGCGACGCCGCGUGAGUGAAGAAGUAUUUCGGUACGUAAAGCUCUAUCAGCAGGGAAGAAAAUGACGGUACCUGACUAAGAAGCCCCGGCUAACUACGUGCCAGCAGCCGCGGUAAUACGUAGGGGGCAAGCGUUAUCCGGAUUUACUGGGUGUAAAGGGAGCGUAGACGGCAGCACAAGUCUGGAGUGAAAUCCCAUGGCUUAACCAUGGAACUGCUUUGGAAACUGUGCAGCUAGAGUGCAGGAGAGGUAAGCGGAAUUCCUAGGGUAGCGGUGAAAUGCGUAGAUAUUAGGAGGAACACCAGUGGCGAAGGCGGCUUACUGGACUGUAACUGACGUUGAGGCUCGAAAGCGUGGGGAGCAAACAGGAUUAGAUACCCUAGUAGUC